GNCACANUGGGGANUUUGGANAAUGGGGGAACCCUGUAUCCAGCCAUCCCGCGUGUAUGAUGAAGGCCUUCGGGUUGUAAAGUACUUUUGGCAGAGAAGAAAAGGUAUCCCCUAAUACGGGAUACUGCUGACGGUAUCUGCAGAAUAAGCACCGGCUAACUACGUGCCAGCAGCCGCGGUAAUACGUAGGGUGCAAGCGUUAAUCGGAAUUACUGGGCGUAAAGCGUGUGUAGGCGGUUCGGAAAGAAAGAUGUGAAAUCCCAGGGCUCAACCUUGGAACUGCAUUUUUAACUGCCGAGCUAGAGUAUGUCAGAGGGGGGUAGAAUUCCACGUGUAGCAGUGAAAUGCGUAGAUAUGUGGAGGAAUACCGAUGGCGAAGGCAGCCCCCUGGGAUAAUACUGACGCUCAGACACGAAAGCGUGGGGAGCAAACAGGAUUAGAUACCCUGGUAGUCCACGCCCUAAACGAUGUCAACUAGCUGUUGGGGCCGUUAGGCCUUAGUAGCGCAGCUAACGCGUGAAGUUGACCGCCUGGGGAGUACGGUCGCAAGAUUAAAACUCAANGGAAUUGACGGGGACCCGCACAAGCGGUGGAUGAUGUGGAUUAAUCCGAUGCAACGCGAAAAAACCUUACCUACCCNUNGACAUGUCUGGAAANCCNAAAAAAUUUNGGCCGUGCUCCCAANANAACCGGAACC
This 697-nucleotide ribosomal RNA is filed under the name Alcaligenes aquatilis. Its description in RNAcentral is "bacterial SSU rRNA". It matches the Rfam family "Bacterial small subunit ribosomal RNA", at positions 348 to 1034 of the family's 1533-position model. The record is from RNAcentral. Lineage: Bacteria; Pseudomonadati; Pseudomonadota; Betaproteobacteria; Burkholderiales; Alcaligenaceae.